RNAcentral lists this ribosomal RNA (478 nucleotides) under uncultured bacterium. Its description in RNAcentral is "partial 16S ribosomal RNA". It matches the Rfam family "Bacterial small subunit ribosomal RNA", at positions 28 to 506 of the family's 1533-position model. The record is from RNAcentral.
GAUGAACGCUAGCGGGAGGCCUAACACAUGCAAGCCGAGCGGUAUUUGUUCUUCGGAACAGAGAGAGCGGCGCACGGGUGCGGAACACGUGUGCAACCUGCCUUUAUCUGGGGGAUAGCCUUUCGAAAGGAAGAUUAAUACCCCAUAAUAUAUUGAGUGGCAUCAUUUGAUAUUGAAAACUCCGGUGGAUAGAGAUGGGCACGCGCAAGAUUAGAUAGUUGGUGAGGUAACGGCUCACCAAGUCAAUGAUCUUUAGGGGGCCUGAGAGGGUGAUCCCCCACACUGGUACUGAGACACGGACCAGACUCCUACGGGAGGCAGCAGUGAGGAAUAUUGGACAAUGGGUUAGCGCCUGAUCCAGCCAUCCCGCGUGAAGGACGACGGCCCUAUGGGUUGUAAACUUCUUUUGUAUAGGGAUAAACCUACUCUCGUGAGAGUAGCUGAAGGUACUAUACGAAUAAACACCGGCUAACUCCGU